Molecule: ribosomal RNA, 348 nt
Filed under: uncultured Desulfobulbus sp.
Lineage: Bacteria; Pseudomonadati; Thermodesulfobacteriota; Desulfobulbia; Desulfobulbales; Desulfobulbaceae
Description: bacterial SSU rRNA
Rfam family: Bacterial small subunit ribosomal RNA
Source: RNAcentral
ACAGGUGGCUGCAUGGCUGUCGUCAGCUCGUGUCGUGAGAUGUGGGUUAAGUCCCGCAACGAGCGCAACCCUUGCCUUUAGUUGCCAGCAGUUCGGCUGGGCACUCUAAAGGGACUGCCGGUGUUAAACCGGAGGAAGGUGGGGAUGACGUCAAGUCCUCAUGGCCUUUAUGACCAGGGCUACACACGUACUACAAUGGCCGAUACAAAGGGCAGCGACACUGCGAGGUGAAGCCAAUCCCGUAAAAUCGGUCUCAGUCCGGAUUGGAGUCUGCAACUCGACUCCAUGAAGUUGGAAUCGCUAGUAAUCGUGGAUCAGCAUGCCACGGUGAAUACGUUCCCGGGCCUU